Ruditapes philippinarum (Manila clam) is the source of this 1317-nucleotide long non-coding RNA. RefSeq lists it as uncharacterized. The transcript is spliced from 2 exons. The record is from RefSeq and is a predicted model, not a curated record. Lineage: Eukaryota; Metazoa; Mollusca; Bivalvia; Venerida; Veneridae.
UGAAACUGACACUUUUGGCCAUUCAUGCGCAUUUGUUUGGCCAUUAAGGCGCAGUAAAUAAGAUAACCAUAAUUAUCAAUAAGUUUGUGACGUGCCACAUUUUUUUUCUAACGAUCUUGUAAAUGAUUUGAUAUAAAGCAUCAUCCCGAGCUGCAAGUAUUUCGUAACCAACAUCCUGUCUCAAGUGGAGUAAUAACUUUUACAUUCCCGGAUGUAAUAAAAGUAUAUAAGCGGACGAGUGUAUCGAACAGUUUUAAAUUAGUUUUACAACACUAAGAUAAAAUUGUCAGGAAAAUAAAAUACAACAUAUUUAUACCGUUUGAUUUAACAAGUUUGAAGAGUUCCUUGCCAUGCAAACUAGAAACGCAGCUUUUUUACUAAUAUGCCUUAUAGCAUUACAAAUGGUGACGGAAAUUGCCACCCGACCACAAGCAAACUGCUGUCGAUACAAACGGUGCCAUAUAGGGAAAAUGUGCGUAAAUAUUGGUUCCCGUUGUAGAUGUAAAAGUAAUCGAGUAAUUUCGGACUUUUUAGACAUGUUCAUUGGAUUUCCAAAGGAACAAAAACUUUCAAUAGAAGUUAGUGUGGAGGAUGAUCAACAAUUCUGGUGAUAAGAAGGCACAUCAAUUCCAACUGUGAUAUUCAACUUCUGUGAUUUUUAUUACAACUAAAUAUCAAUCAGAAUUUUUCAUUUUUACCACUUGUGUUCAUACUUGUGUUACUUUUGUAACUUUUGUGUGACUAGAUUUCUAGAUUUCUUAUGCUCGAACAUUAGUAUUUUCAAUGUUCAGUGGUGUAAACAAAAGUGUGUACAAUCAAGUUUGCAUAAAUAUGUUAUCAUUUACAACAGUAUUGCGAUUAUAAAAAGUUAUUUUUACAGUAAUCACUGUAUUUUUAUUGUGAUACUCUUUCAGUAUUUGAAAGAAUUAUUAUAAUUAUAUACGUAAAGAAGCAAGCUCCAGCUUGUGUGAUCUCAAAUAGUAUUAUUACUAUAUGAUAUAUUUUCAUAAAGAUGUCGUUUGUGUCCAACGUAAUGAUGUCAAAUUAUGAUAUUUUCGGAUAUUUAAUAUCUGUGUUGUGUGUUUUUAAGUUGAAAUCCAUGAAUUUCAAAUUUUGUUUACGCUUUCUUUAUUUGUUUAUUUAUUGAUUUAUUUACUGAUUUACUGAAAAUGGGUGUGAUAUUUUAGAUACAUGUUUUAUAUAUUAUUUUAUGUGCAAUCUAUAUACAUGUACAAAUAUUUCAAAUACAUUUAUUCGAUAGCCAUUUGAACUUUAUUGAAAAAUAAUCUAGAAAUAAAGAAAUUGAAUACAAAUGUU